UGAGGAAUAUUGGACAAUGGGCGGGAGCCUGAUCCAGCCAUGCCGCGUGCAGGAAGACUGCCCUAUGGGUUGUAAACUGCUUUUAUACGGGAAGAAUAAGUGUUACGUGUAGCACGAUGACGGUACCGUAAGAAUAAGCACCGGCUAACUCCGUGCCAGCAGCCGCGGUAAUACGGAGGGUGCAAGCGUUAUCCGGAAUCAUUGGGUUUAAAGGGUCCGUAGGUGGACUAAUAAGUCAGUGGUGAAAGUCUGCAGCUUAACUGUAGAAUUGCCAUUGAUACUGUUGGUCUUGAAUUGUUGUGAAGUAACUAGAAUAUGUAGUGUAGCGGUGAAAUGCAUAGAUAUUACAUAGAAUACCGAUUGCGAAGGCAGGUUACUAACAAUAUAUUGACACUGAUGGACGAAAGCGUGGGGAGCGAACAGG
This 424-nucleotide ribosomal RNA is filed under the name uncultured bacterium. RNAcentral describes it as "bacterial SSU rRNA". It matches the Rfam family "Bacterial small subunit ribosomal RNA", at positions 355 to 776 of the family's 1533-position model. The record is from RNAcentral.